This 6423-nucleotide long non-coding RNA is filed under the name Solanum tuberosum (potato). RNAcentral describes it as "long non-coding RNA (STUB_LNC002056)". Lineage: Eukaryota; Viridiplantae; Streptophyta; Magnoliopsida; Solanales; Solanaceae. The record is from RNAcentral.
CAGUUUUCGUGAACGGAAAGAUUUGCAAAGACCCAAAGCUUGCAACAGCGAAUGAUUUCUUUGCUUCAGGUUUUAAUGUUAGUGGAAAUGCAGUGCCUGGGUUUGGUUUUGCUACAAAGACUGCGGAUCUGAACAACAUGCCUGGACUUAACACUCUUGGUCUUUUUUUUGGUCGUAUUGACUUGGAACCUCAACGUCUUGCUCCACUUCACACGCACCCUCGAGCUACUGAGCUGAUAACUAUCCUGGAGGGUACUGUCUAUGCAGGAUUUCUUGUCCCCAAUCCUGCAAACUUCUUUAAGAGUCGUCUCUUCUCCAAAGUCUUGAAUCCUGGUGAUGUGUUUGUAAUCCCAAAAGGUCUUAUUCACUUCCAGUAUAAUGUGGGAAACAAAAAAGCUACUUAUUUCGCUAUUUUCAACAGUCAAAAUCCUGGAUUUGUCAUUAUUCCUAAUUCAAUCUUUGCUUCAAAUCCACCUAUUUCGGACGACGUUCUUGCCAAAGGCUUCAUGCUUAAUAAGACAGAGAUUGCAGUACUUCGAAAGAAAUUCUCUUAGGCUAUACUAUAUGUUAUUAAAAAUAUGAUUCUGUGUUUUCUGAAAGUUGGUUGCAGCACAUAAGCUGCUCACCAGCGUCUUAUGAGUUGGAACAAUACUUGACCCCUAAUAAAUAAAGUGGCAGUGUAUGUAAGUAUAAUCUUUCUUUGCAAUAUAUACUAAUGAAUAAGCACUAUGUUGGUCAUGCACCUGGUGUGAUGAGAGUGAAAUUGACAUGCUUAAUGGCUAUCAAGUGUAAAGUUGAAAUGAUUUUCCUGGAAAGGACAUAUAUCUUAUUAGUCGAUUAAGAUGCUUUCCUGGAGUUUCAAUUAUAUAAGUUCGAGCUCUAGGACCAAUUCUUGAGUUUCCCUAGUAAAAGUUGAAAAACUUUUAUAUACUUAUACUAUUAUUUUAGAUUAGUAUUAGUUAGUGAUCCAAACUUAGUGAUGAACUGUUGACACUGGUCCUACAUUUUUUCAACUAUACAACAUGAAAUCUAGCAAUGUAGUUGGACUCUAAUGUCGAUGCGUAUGAAUCAUUUCCUGUAGAAUAUUUUCAAUCCAAGUUGAAAUAGGAAAAGUCACAAGCACCACUAGACUCGAUCACCGGUUGAACGUUAGUAGGAUCUGAUAUUCAUUACUUACUCAGAUAGGAAGUUGACAGUCUCAAUCUAGUGGUGUGGUCCACAACGACUUUGUUGAUCCAAGGGGUUUUUUGUUUUUAUUGCAAUAAGUGUUCCUUUUUUUUCUUUUAACUUGCAACACUUGCUACUUUGAAGUUGAAAACUAGAUUUUAUGCAAAUUGCACGCUAAGUCUUUGGUAUGGGUGUCCCGGUCUAAUAAUCUACAAAGAAAGGAGAGGGAAUGACAUAUCAAUCUAAGAUCCUUCUCCUCUUAGAAAGAGGAGAAAAUAUCCAAAAUUGUCCUUGUGGUUUGCAAAAAAGGUCUGAUUCUGUCCUCUGUUAAAGCUUAGGUCCCAUCGUGCCCCCGCUAUUAUCACACGGGCACACAUUUGCCCUAAUUAUCCAACUUAGCUAACAAAAUUAUUAAAAUGGAUUUCAAAACUUUUAAAAUGAUAAAAAAAAAAAAGUUCUAGAAUUCUCCGGGUGAUUGUGGCUUUUGAGUGGAAGUGGAAGCCAUUGAAGAUCUAGGAAUGUUUGGGUGGCCAUUUCUGAUAGAAGUUUUUUUCUAGAGAUCAGUGGUUUCAGGUUUCGCAAUGCUUGUAGAUGAUACCGUGCCUUACAAUGAGAUGAUAUAUAACUAAAAGGUAAAAAUGCUAAGAUAGUGCCGAGUACUGAACUUUGACCCUCCAAUUUUGGGUGUGCACAAGUAGAUACUUAAAUUUGUAUAAAAUUGAACAAUUAAACACAUGCAUAUACAUGACAUCCUAUAUGACAAUUCACAUCCUACAUAGCGUCCUAUGUGUAAUAUGCCACGUAAAAUGUGUGUGUCUACUUAUUCAAUUUUAUACAAGUUUAAGUACCUACUUGUGCACACUCAAAGUUGGAGGGGAUGUCAACUGAAGCGGCUAAGUUAAAUGGAACAUUUAUGUAUUAUGCUCAUUUUUCAGAGAAUGGUCAAAAUUGUACCUAACCAAUUCAGUAUGUUUUACUUUUACAUUUCGUCUAUCUAUUGGUCCUCAAAGCCUAACCUAUUGUUUUCUAGCCAAAAUUUACCCCUCUUCUAAACGAAAAAUUACAUAAUUUCGCGACACCAUAUAAUUGGCAUAAGCCAUACAUAAAUGUGCUCCUUAACUUAACUUCAACAAGCAUCUAUGCUCUUCAACUUUGGGGUGUGCACAUGUAAACACUUAAACUUCCAAUAGUUGAACAAGUAGACACACACAUCUUAUAUGGCGUCUUAUGUGGUAGUUUUGUGUCCUACAUGGCAUCCUACAUGUAUUAUGCCACAUAGGACGCAUGUGUAUGUCUACUUGUUUAACUUUUGGAUAGUUUAAGUGUCUACUUGUGAAUACCUAAAGUUGGAGGGCGUAACGCCAGUUGAGACCAAGUUAAAGGACACAUUUAUAUAAUACGCCCCACAUAAUUGGUUCAUGUGGAACUUUAACUCUAAUAGUAGCAGUACCAAGUAGUGUGGAUUCAAGCUUUUCAAUAUGUUAGAGUGAGUUAGAAUCCCACAUUGAUUGUGGAAAGGACCAAUGGGUUUAUGCAAUGCUUUCCUCGUGAGCUAGCUUUUAGGGUUGAGUUAGGCCUAAGUGUCAUAUUUUUACAUAAUACAUAUUAUUUUUCUCGGAUAUUUUGAACUAGAUGAGAGUAUAAGUAGUCAAACCUUUCUUCCUGGCUGUUUGGAAAAAAGCCCAUCACAAAUCCAAAGCAUAAUAAUGAGUAUGUGGUGGUUCAUAACAACAUUAGCCAUUACUGCUUUCAUUUCUUAUUCCCCUGCUUAUGCUUAUGAUAACAACCCUCUACAGGACAUAUGUGUUGCUGUUAACGACUCUCAGGCUGCAGGUAAAUCAUCCUUCAAUAUUUUGUUUGGGAAUGAGGCGUAGUUUUUGGAUAUACGUUGUAUAAUUUAUGUCUGCUCUUAUUAUCUGAAUAAUAUGCUCAGUUUCAUUUUAUUUCACCUGUGCAGUUUUCGUGAAUGGAAAGAUUUGCAAAGACCCAAAGCUUGCAACAGCGAAUGAUUUCUAUUUUUCAGGCCUUAAUGUUAGUGGAAAUGUAGUGCCUGGGCUUGGUUUUGCUUCAACUCGUGUGGCUGUAAACAACAUGCCUGGACUUAACACUCUUGGUAUGUUUCUUGGUCGUACUGACUUGGAACCUCAACGUCUUGCUCAAUUUCACACGCACCCUCGAGCUACUGAGUUGAUAACUAUCCUGGAGGGUACUCUCUAUACAGGAUUUCUUGUCCCUGAUGCUGCAAACUUCUUUAAGAGUCGUCUCUUCUCCAAAAUCAUUAAUCCUGGUGAUGUGUUUGUGUUCCCAAAAGGUCUUAUUCACUUCCAGUAUAAUAUGGGAAACAAAAAAGCUACUUAUCUCUCCUUUUUCAACAGUCAAAAUCCUGGAUUUGUCAUUAUUCCUAACUCAAUCUUUGCUUCAAAUCCACCUAUUUCGGACAACAUUCUUGCCAAAGGCUUCCAGCUUAAUAAGACAGAUAUUGCACUACUUCGAAAGAAAUUCUCUUAGGCUAUAUUAUAUGUCAUAAAAAAUGUCACUCUGUGUUUUCUGAAUGAUUUUUGGAAGCUUUAUAUGAAAGCCUUGGAAUAAAACUCUUCUAAUAAAUGUUGUUCUUUGUAUUUUUCCGUAUUUGGUGUGAGCAUGUUCAUUCAUGGAAGCUAACAUUUUCCCCUAAUUUUAUUUCCUCUCCGUCUUACUGUUAUUGUUGAAAAGUGAAACUAAGUUAAAGAACUGAUUAGGCUGUAUUUUAUAUAUAUAGAUGCCCAUAAUGUCCACUUGGUACGUUCAGUUCUUUUUUCCAGAUGAAAGUAACAUAUUGUUUCUCUUCUUGUAAGAGUUAAUAAAUUGAAAAAAAAACAUGAUAGACUAAUCAAACAUUUUUAUUACAACCUUAACUUCAAAUAAAAGAUUCAACAACAUUGUAAUCCACAAUUAAAACAGUUAAAAACUAUAGAGGAAAUUAAAUUCCCAAUCAUAGACCUUAAUGCUAUUGACAAAUGUAACGCUUUGUAUUAAAAUGUGUCUUGUAGAUCCAUAUGGACAUCAACAAGCACUGAGAAUUUUCGCGGUUGGAUCCCAUUUGGUAACAAGGCUAAUAAUUAUUUAGUUGUUUAGAACUUGCUACGUCCAUUUUCUGAAUUUGUUUUUUUCAAUGUUCUUUCAGUAGCUUGUGUCUAACAGAUGUGGCCCUUAACCUCCUCAGUAGCAACCCACAUUCAUCCAAUAAGUUUUUCAAGUGUCAUUGAUCUAAUUACCUUUCUAGAGUCUGCGUGUUUCUCUAGUAAGUAGAAAUUCAGUGUACGCGGAGUCACAUAUACUUGAGAGAUGUCGACUGACACCCCUUCGUCGGAAUAUUACACAGUGUAGCUAUGUAAAUAUAUACUUUUAUGUGUAUAUAUUACAUAUUGACACUCCUUGACUUCCACAUGAUUUUAUUUCUUUAUAUUUUGCCACCCCUUAGUCGAAAAUUUGGCUCCGCCACAUUCUAAUGUCUAAACUAGUGGAGUAGGGACCAACCUAGCUAGUAUAUAGCAAUUCCCUAUAGUAAGAAGUAAACUCAGGAAAAGCUUUUGGAAGAAGUCAAAAAGAAGUAGAGAUGCCUUUUGUCUUUAGUUUAUAAUCAUAAAGUAGCUAAAAAUUAAAUAAUUUGGAAAUUGAAUACAGAUUGAAUAGUAAUCACCAAAAAUAGCUUCACUUGCAAUUUUAAAAAAAUUCAAGAUUUUUACUGUAAGUCCACGUUAUCUGGAGCUUGAACUGUUUAAGUUUGAACUCCAAUAUUUAUAGUGGACUCUAGGAAAGUAUCCUUGCCUGGAGUUUAUAUUGUGUAAGUUCGAGCUUUAGGACACGGAUCCUGGAGUUUCACUUGUGAUCCUGACUUAAUGAGGUCUAUAGACUAUUAUAUUAGAUUAGUAUUAGUAAUUAGUAAUCCCAACUUAGUGAGUCCAUUCUUCCGUGAUGAACUGUUGGCACCAGUCCUACAUUUUGUCUUUGUGGACUGAGGAGAAAAGGGGUUUGGUGGGAAGAGGAGUAUAUCAUGAGAGAAGAAAGGAGGUCAACCUCUUUCAAAUAUACAACAUGGAAUCUAGCAAUGCAACUGGACUCUCAUAUUUGAUCUGAAUGAAUCAUUUCCUUUCCUGUCCCGUAUUUUCAAUCCAAGUCGAAAUAGGAAAAGCCAUAAGCACCACUAGGCUCGAUCGCCGGUUGAACCUCAGUAGGAUCCGAUAUUCAGAUUUGGCAAUGCUUUUAGGUUAUACCGCGCCUUAUAAUGAGAUUAUGUACAACUACAAGGUAACUAUGCUAAGAUAGUGCAGAUUACUGAACUUUGUUUAUCUUCAUUUUACAGAGAAUAGUCAAAAUCGUACCUAAACUAUUCAGUAUGUUUUACUUUUACACUUUGCCUAAUCUACUGGUCCCUCAAAACCCAACCUAUUAUUUUCUAGCAUAAAAUUACCCCUCUUUCAAACGGAAAUUUUUUUGAGUCCCUACAUACUUUCAUGACACCCUAUAAUUGGUUCAUGUGGAACUCUAACUCUAAUACUAGCCCCACCAAAUAGUGUCGCUGCAAGCUUUUCAAUAUGUUAGAGUGAAUUAGAGUCCCGCAUUGAUUGCGGAAUAGACUUACAAUUUUGGGAAAUCCUCCCAUCAUGAACUAGCUUUGGGGGUUGUGUUAGGUCCAAAUGUCAUAUCUUUAUGCAAUACAUAUUAUUUUUCCCUGGUAAAUCAACUAGAUGAGAGUAUAAGUACUCACACAUUUCUGGUUGUUUAAAAAACACACAACUAAUCCAAAGUAUAACAAUGAGCAUGUGGUGGUUCAUAACAACAUUUGCCAUUACUUCUUUCAUUUGUAAUUCCCCUGCUUAUGCUUAUGAUAACAACCCUCUACAGGACAUAUGUGUUGCUGUUAAUGACUCUCAGGCUUCUGGUAAAUCAUCAUUCUAUAUUUUUGUUUGGAAUGAGGCGUAGUUUUUGUAUAUACAUUGUAUAAUUUAUAUCAGCUCUUAUUAGCUGAAUAAUAUGCUUAGAGAUUCAUUUUAUUUCACCUGUACAGUUUUCGUGAAUGGAAAAAUUUGCAAAGACCCAAAGCUUGCAACAGCGAAUGAUUUCUAUUUCUCAGGUCAUAAUGUUAGUGGAGAUGUAGUGCCUGGGCUUGGUUUUGUUUCAACUCUUGUGGAUGUAAACAAGAUGCCUGGACUUAACACUCUUGGUAUGUUUUUUGGUCGUACUGAAUUGGAACCUCAACGUCUUGCUCCACUUCAC